This 559-nucleotide ribosomal RNA is filed under the name Babesia canis. RNAcentral describes it as "SSU rRNA". It matches the Rfam family "Eukaryotic small subunit ribosomal RNA", at positions 502 to 1121 of the family's 1831-position model. Lineage: Eukaryota; Apicomplexa; Aconoidasida; Piroplasmida; Babesiidae. The record is from RNAcentral.
GUCUUGUAAUUGGAAUGAUGGUGACCCAAACCCUCACCAGAGUAGCAAUUGGAGGGCAAGUCUGGUGCCAGCAGCCGCGGUAAUUCCAGCUCCAAUAGCGUAUAUUAAACUUGUUGCAGUUAAAAAGCUYGUAGUUGUAUUUUUGCGUURRCGGUUUGACCAUUUGGUUGGUUAUUUCGUUUUCGCUUUUGGGAAUUUCCCUUUUUACUUUGAGAAAAUUAGAGUGUUUCAAGCAGACUUUUGUCUUGAAUACUUCAGCAUGGAAUAAUAGAGUAGGACUUUGGUUCUAUUUUGUUGGUUAUUGAACCUUAGUAAUGGUUAAUAGGAACGGUUGGGGGCAUUCGUAUUUAACUGUCAGAGGUGAAAUUCUUAGAUUUGUUAAAGACGAACUACUGCGAAAGCAUUUGCCAAGGACGUUUCCAUUAAUCAAGAACGAAAGUUAGGGGAUCGAAGACGAUCAGAUACCGUCGUAGUCCUAACCAUAAACUAUGCCGACUAGUGAUAGGAGGUCGUCGUUUUUUAACCCCUUCAGGAACUUGAGAGAAAUCAAAGUCUUUGG